Molecule: ribosomal RNA, 481 nt
Filed under: uncultured bacterium
Lineage: Bacteria
Description: partial 16S ribosomal RNA
Rfam family: Bacterial small subunit ribosomal RNA
Source: RNAcentral
GACGAACGCUGGCGGCGUGCUUAACACAUGCAAGUCGAGCGAUGAAGUUUCUUCGGAAAUGGAUUAGCGGCGAACGGGUGAGGAACACGUGAAGAAUCUGCCCUCCACUUUGGGAUAACACCGGGAAACCGGUGCUAAUACUGAAUAUUGAAACAUAAGUGGCAUCACUGAGUUUUGAAAGAAUUUCGGUGGAGGAUGACUUCGCGGCCUAUCAGCUAGUUGGUGGGGUAAUGGCUCACCAAGGCAACGACGGGUAGCCGGCCUGAGAGGGCGACCGGCCACACUGGGACUGAGACACGGCCCAGACUCCUACGGGAGGCAGCAGUGGGGAAUAUUGGGCAAUGGAGGAAACUCUGACCCAGCGACGCCGCGUGCGGGAUGAAGGCCUUCGGGUUGUAAACCGCUUUCAGUAGGGAAGAAGCGAAAGUGACGGUACCUACAAAAGAAGCACCGGCUAACUAUGUGCCAGCAGCCGCAGUAA